Molecule: ribosomal RNA, 675 nt
Filed under: uncultured Curvibacter sp.
Lineage: Bacteria; Pseudomonadati; Pseudomonadota; Betaproteobacteria; Burkholderiales; Comamonadaceae
Description: bacterial SSU rRNA
Rfam family: Bacterial small subunit ribosomal RNA
Source: RNAcentral
AGUGGCGAACGGGUGAGUAAAGUAUCGGAACGUGCCCAGUCGUGGGGGAUAACGUAGCGAAAGUUACGCUAAUACCGCAUACGAUCUAUGGAUGAAAGCGGGGGAUCGCAAGACCUCGCGCGAUUGGAGCGGCCGAUAUCAGAUUAGGUAGUUGGUGGGGUAAAGGCUCACCAAGCCGACGAUCUGUAGCUGGUCUGAGAGGACGACCAGCCACACUGGGACUGAGACACGGCCCAGACUCCUACGGGAGGCAGCAGUGGGGAAUUUUGGACAAUGGGCGCAAGCCUGAUCCAGCCAUGCCGCGUGCAGGAUGAAGGCCUUCGGGCUGUAAACUGCUUUUGUACGGAACGAAAAGGUUUGGCCUAAUAAGCUGAGCUCAUGACGGUACCGUAAGAAUAAGCACCGGCUAACUACGUGCCAGCAGCCGCGGUAAUACGUAGGGUGCGAGCGUUAAUCGGAAUUACUGGGCGUAAAGCGUGCGCAGGCGGUUAUGUAAGACAGAUGUGAAAUCCCCGGGCUCAACCUGGGAACUGCAUUAGUGACUGCAUAGCUGGAGUACGGCAGAGGGGGGAUGGAAUUCCGCGUGUAGCAGUGAAAUGCGUAGAUAUGCGGAGGAACACCGAUGGCGAAGCAAUCCCCUGGGCCUGUACUGACGCUCAUGCACGAAAGCGUGGG